RNAcentral lists this ribosomal RNA (401 nucleotides) under uncultured bacterium. RNAcentral describes it as "bacterial SSU rRNA". It matches the Rfam family "Bacterial small subunit ribosomal RNA", at positions 355 to 774 of the family's 1533-position model. RNAcentral also lists the same sequence under 1 other name. The record is from RNAcentral.
UGGGGAAUUUUGCGCAAUGGGGGCAACCCUGACGCAGCAACGCCGCGUGCGGGACGAAGGCCUUCGGGUCGUAAACCGCUUUCAGCAGGGAAGACAGCGACGGUACCUGCAGAAGAAGCCCCGGCUAACUACGUGCCAGCAGCCGCGGUAAUACGUAGGGGGCGAGCGUUAUCCGGAAUCAUUGGGCGUAAAGAGCGCGUAGGCGGCCCCUCAAGCGGGAUCUCUAAUCCGAGGGCUCAACCCCCGGCCGGAUCCCGAACUGGGGGGCUCGGGUGCGGUAGAGGAGGAUGGAAUUCCCGGUGUAGCGGUGGAAUGCGCAGAUAUCGGGAAGAACACCGAUGGCGAAGGCAGUCCUCUGGGCCGCCACCGACGCUGAGGCGCGAAAGCCGGGGGAGCGAACA